Molecule: non-coding RNA, 151 nt
Filed under: Rubellimicrobium thermophilum DSM 16684
Lineage: Bacteria; Pseudomonadati; Pseudomonadota; Alphaproteobacteria; Rhodobacterales; Roseobacteraceae
Description: Ruegeria cis2 sRNA
Rfam family: Ruegeria cis2 sRNA
About the family: Cis-encoded. Targets ABC transporter.
Source: Rfam by way of RNAcentral
GGAGGUGAAGUGCGGGUUGUAGUUGAGAAACACAUAGCCCCGCGCCUGAUCGAUGGCAUGGAACAGCGGGUUCCAGUCGAAGAUGGACAGCAUGUAUCCCGGCAGGGUAUUGGCCACGAACAUCUUUCCCGAGGCAACCAUGUUCGCGCGG